RNAcentral lists this long non-coding RNA (1305 nucleotides) under Homo sapiens (human). RNAcentral describes it as "PREDICTED lncRNA (TCONS_00188075)". The record is from RNAcentral. Lineage: Eukaryota; Metazoa; Chordata; Mammalia; Primates; Hominidae.
AAGAUGGCAUCUCAAUGUGUUACCCAGGCUGGUCUUGAACUCCUGGACUCAAUCCUCCUACCUUGGCCUCCCAAAGUGCUGGGAUUAUAGGUAAUCCACCCGCCUUGGCCUCCCAAAGUGCUGGGAUUACAGGUGUGAGCCACCAUGCCCAGCCAGAAACUGCCACUUUUAAACCAUCAGAUCUCAUUGAGAACUCCCUCACUAUCACGAGAACCGCAUGAGGGAAACCACCCCCAUGAUCUGAUCACCUCCCACCAGGUCCUGCCCUCAACAUGUGGGGAUUACAAUUCAAGAUGAGAUUUGGGUCAGGAAACAGAGCCAAACCAUAUCAAGAGCCUCUGGUAACCACUGUUCUACUCAAUACUUCUAUGAGGUGAACUUCUUUGGAUUCCACAUAUGAUCAAGAUCAUGAGGAAGGAGGAGCAAGUCUUCUUUGUCAUGCUAUUAAGAAAAUACCCAGAGUCACAGCACCAUGAUCUCCUUGUGAAGCAGAACAAGUAAUAUAAAACUGAUCUAAAGAGGCCUCCCCUCUACUCUUAUCUGUCUGGUCGAGUCAUUUGGGUCCAAGUGGGCACCAUUGUGGGAGGGUGGGAGGACUCAUCACUGGGGGCCCAGGCAUCAUUGGCAUGUGGCCUCCUGUGUUAGUUUGUUCUCAUGCUGCAAAUAAAGACAACUUGAGACUGGAUAAUUUAUAAAGGAAAGAGGUUUAAUGGACUCACAGUUCCACAUGGCUAAGGAGUACUCACAAUCAUGGCGGAAGACAAAGGAAGAGCAAAGGGACAUCUUACAUGGCAGCAGGCAAGAGAGCGUGUGCAGGGGAAGUCCCCUUUAUAAAACCAUCAGAUCUCAUGAGACUUAUUCACUAUCGCGAGAACAGCAUGAGAAAAACCCACCCCCAUGAUUCAAUUACCUCCCACCGUGUCCCUCCCAUGUCAUGUGAAGAUUAUUACAACUCAAGGUGAGAUCUGAGUGGGGACACAGAGCCAAAUGAUAUCACCUCCAAUGGGCAGCCUCAUUCCAGGAGCACAUCCCAUUGGCAUCAUCCAGGAGGAGGGGGGGGCCAUCAUUGGCAUCAUGGGAGGGCCCCCCAGCUGGGGUGCUGGCAUCAUACCUGGUGAGGAACAGGAAGAGACUGGGGGGAGGUUGGAUCAUCGCUCCUGCAGGAGGAGGAACAGAGAACAGAGUAGGAGGUGUUCUUCCUUGUUGAGAUGCAGUCUUUGUUCUGUCAGCCAGGCUCCGAGCCUGCUCUUCUAUCCAUUUCUGGUAGUAGUCUUUCACAUUCUCUUUGUGUUUCCUUCCACUGCA